Molecule: ribosomal RNA, 486 nt
Filed under: uncultured bacterium
Lineage: Bacteria
Description: partial 16S ribosomal RNA
Rfam family: Bacterial small subunit ribosomal RNA
Source: RNAcentral
ACUCAAAUGAAUUGACGGGGGCCCGCACAAGCGGCGGAGCGUGUGGUUUAAUUCGAUGCUACACGAAGAACCUUACCCAGGCUUGACAUGGAGGUGGUAGGGAAGGGAAACCGGACCGACCCGCAAGGGAGCCUUCACAGGUGCUGCAUGGCUGUCGUCAGCUCGUGCCGUGAGGUGUUAGGUUAAGUCCUGUAACGAGCGCAACCCGCGUGGUCAGUUACAUGUGUCUGGCCAGACUGCCGGUUUCAAGCCGGAGGAAGGUGCGGACGACGUCAAGUCAGCAUGGCCUUUAUGCCUGGGGCGACACACACGCUACAAUGGGCAGUACAAAGGGACGCGAACGCGCGAGCGGGAGCCAAUCUCAGAAAGCUGUUCCCAGUUCGGAUUGCAGGCUGCAACCCGCCUGCAUGAAGCCGGAGUCGCUAGUAACCGCGCGUCAGCUAUAGUGCGGUGAAUACGUUCCCGGGCCUUGUACACACCGCCCGU